CAAUAGCGUAUAUUAAAGUUGUUGCAGUUAAAAGCUCGUAGUUGGAUCUGGGGCUUAGGCUGGUGGUCCAUCUCGCGAUGGUUACUGCCUGUCCUGGCCUUUACCUCCCGGUCUAUCUUUGUUGCUCUUGACUGAGUGACUCGGGUUGCCGGAACGUUUACUUUGAAAAAUUAGAGUGUUCAAAGCAGGCUUUUUGCCUGAAUAAUGGUGCAUGGAAUAAUGGAAUAGGACCUCGGUUCUAUUUUGUUGGUUUUCGGAACAUGAGGAAAUGAUUAAGAGGAACAGACGGGGGCAUUCGUACUGCUGCGUUAGAGGUGAAAUUCUUGGAUCGUAGCAAGACGAACAACAGCGAAAGCAUUUGCCAAGAAUGUUUUCAUUAAUCAAGAACGAAAGUCAGAGGUUCGAAGACGAUCAGAUACCAU
RNAcentral lists this ribosomal RNA (422 nucleotides) under uncultured eukaryote. Its description in RNAcentral is "SSU rRNA". It matches the Rfam family "Eukaryotic small subunit ribosomal RNA", at positions 592 to 1018 of the family's 1831-position model. The record is from RNAcentral.